This 282-nucleotide ribosomal RNA is filed under the name Toxoplasma gondii. RNAcentral's name for it is "partial ribosomal RNA". It matches the Rfam family "Eukaryotic small subunit ribosomal RNA", at positions 1338 to 1652 of the family's 1831-position model. The record is from RNAcentral. Lineage: Eukaryota; Apicomplexa; Conoidasida; Eucoccidiorida; Sarcocystidae.
AGACCUACCAUGCUAAAUAGGAUCAGGACUUCGCUAGUUCUUGUAUCACUUCUUAGAGGGCUUUGCGUGUCUAACGCAAGGAAGUUUGAGGCAAUAACACGUCUGCUGAUGCCCUUAGAUGUUCUGGGCUAGCACGCGCGCUACACUGAUGCAUCCAACGAGUUUAUAACCUUGGCCGAUAGGUCUAGAAUCUUGUGAGUAUGUCGUGAUUGGGGAUUAUUGGCCAUUAUUAAUCUUUAACCCGAAUGCCUAGUAGGCGCAAGGUCGCUGGCGCAUUCGUCC